UACGUAGGGUGCAAGCGUUAAUCGGAAUUACUGGGCGUAAAGCGUGCGUAGUCGGUUAUCUAAGUCGGGUGUGAAAUCCCCGGGCUCAACCUGGGAAUUGCAUUCGAUACUGGAUAGCUAGAGUUCGGCAGAGGGAAGCGGAAUUUCGGGUGUAGCGGUGAAAUGCGUAGAUAUUGGGAGGAACACCAGUGGCGAAGGCGGCUCACUGGACCGGAACUGACGCUGAGGCGCGAAAGCGUGGGGAGCAAACAGG
This 253-nucleotide ribosomal RNA is filed under the name uncultured bacterium. RNAcentral describes it as "partial 16S ribosomal RNA". It matches the Rfam family "Bacterial small subunit ribosomal RNA", at positions 524 to 776 of the family's 1533-position model. The record is from RNAcentral.